ACGGCACAACGCCGAUCGUGUGGCCUAUGAACGAAAAACGGGAGAAGGGGAAACCGAUAUCCUUCGAGUGACACACACGCAUGCAUCUGCAUGCGUAUUCCGCUGAACCGAGACUACACAUCUCUCUCGAUCUCCCAUGAUUUUUCUGCUAUCGCGCUCAUCCGGGUGUUAGGCAUCCUCAGUCUGUCCAGAACUUUCACUGUGGAAGGAUGUGUUGGAGUGAUGUGUGAUUUCUUGUGCCCCGUACUUUGCUCGUUUACGUUUUGUGCCGUGUUCCUUCUUCUUCAAUUAUGGAAUGAUUUAUCCUUGUAAAUUUCUAAGUUACAGUGCACGCGCAUGUUAAUCGACGGUUGCCAACAUCCAGCAAAACGAUCGACAGAAGGAAAACGGUGUCCGGUUUUAAAAUAUAAAGAUUUCAUUACAGCUCUUUCGUAGAAGAGCGCACUUCAAGGACGCCUAGGAUACGGCUAAACAUGCGCAGCACCAGUCCGUGACGUCAUUUCCAGACAGGCGCCGGCUGAACACGCGCAGCACCAGUCGAGGAUGUCCUAGCGCAGAGGGUAGAAGGAAGAACGAGAGGAAGGGUAACAGAAAGCAACCGCAGCAUUUGGAAGGGGUGAAGCAUCCUGCCGUAUACAGAGUGUGAGUGUGCCAAAACGCAUGUGGAAAGAGGAGGUCCAAUAAAUAGCAUGCGAAAGUGUGCAUAAAGCAAAAAGAAAAAGCGUCACUACUACAACCAGCAAUCCGAAAAUAUAAGGGGAGGGAUAAAUACAAAUGUAUGCGUAAGCAGGACCAGCAAUCCAAGCAUUUGAAUGUGUGCGUCGGUUUGUGCCGUGCUGAAAGUUUUUACUUUAGCUGCUGCUAGUGUAAAAACUUAAGGAAAGCUUAAAGUAAAAAUUUUUUACACGGGGCGCCUUCGGAAAUUGUUGGCUGGGUACUGAUCUAUCGGGUCGACUCCAACUCGCUGCACCCUCGGGUCAAACUGAACUUACCGUGACCCGACUCGACCCGAACUCGCCGCACCAACGGGUCAGAGUCGCUUAUGAUUUCUGAAAUGAAUAAUAUGACCCAACACUAGUCUAUAACAAAUGCAUAAAGUGUUAAGUUCUUUCCGUAGGGUUGACAUUAUACUUUACGGUGCACUACGGGGUUUCCAAUUGUCCAGUAGUGCACUUUAAUUGGUUAUAAGAAUAGCGCUAUUCCAUGGGUCGACAAACGGUGUUGUUGUUGUAAAUUAUUGCGGAAGGCUCCUGGCUGAUCCUGGAUGCUUUGUUUGCAGCAAAUCGGCCCAUCAAAUCAAAGAGCAACUCUCUCCGUUGAGCAUUCUUGGCCGCAUCGCAAAAAGCACUGAGAGCAACCGGUCCAGCACAGACUGCAGAGAACGUUGAGAGUAGCCGGUUGACAUCGGAUCGAUAAGAACGUUGAUAGCAGUGGGUUCAUGUCGGAUCGCAAAUAACGAUGGGAGAAAUAGGUUCAGUUUGAACCUGGUUAGGUUAAAAAUAGGGAUCGAAUUUACGAAUUGCUGGUUGCAGUAGUGACGCUAUUUCCUUAGCUUUAUACACACUUUCGUAUGCUAUUUAUUGGACUUCCUCUUUCCUUCACUGUUUCCAAAUAUUGCGGUAACUUUCCGUUACCCUUUUUCUCUCGUUCCUUCUUCCACCCACUGCGCUAGAAUAUCCUCGCCUGAUGCUGCGCAUGUUCAGACGGCGCCUGUCUAGAAAUGAACUUGCCUGUCUUGAAGUGCGCUCUUCUACGAAAAAGCUGUGUUGAAAUCUGUUGAUGAAAAUUAACCAAUAAUUAAUCCAUGUGUUAAAAAAAACAUCUAAACAAUAUUUUGCACAUAGGAUAAUAGCAACGCUUACCUUAACA
Long non-coding RNA from Anopheles coluzzii, 1869 nucleotides. RefSeq lists it as uncharacterized. The transcript has 3 exons. The record is from RefSeq and is a predicted model, not a curated record. Lineage: Eukaryota; Metazoa; Arthropoda; Insecta; Diptera; Culicidae.